This 1365-nucleotide ribosomal RNA is filed under the name Typhlatya mitchelli. RNAcentral describes it as "16S ribosomal RNA". The stretch from base 895 to 1292 matches the Rfam family "Bacterial large subunit ribosomal RNA", at positions 2049 to 2651 of the family's 2925-position model. Lineage: Eukaryota; Metazoa; Arthropoda; Malacostraca; Decapoda; Atyidae. The record is from RNAcentral.
GUUUAUAUCAGGUAGUCGGGGCAAGAGGAAGGGUGGAGAGAGUAUUGUUUGGAAGAAGUAUUUGGUGUGUUUUAUAAAGGGUAACUGAAGAAUCAGGUAGUUUAUUAUUAGAGUAUAUUAUGUUGAAAUGCUUGUAAAGUUAAACUAAAGAGAAUAAGUACUGUAAGGGAAGUAUAUGAAGGUGUUGGAAAAGAAGAUUUAAGUUUUUGUACCUUUUGUAUCAGGGAUUUUUAAUUUGUUUUGAAGAUGUUUGUAGUUCCCGAAAUAAGGUGAUCUAAUUCAGUAAGUGUGUUUAUGUUGGAAAAUGAAGUUAAAUACUGUUUUAGUAGUGAAAUGUUAGUCGAACUUUAUAUAUCUGGUUGCUUCCGAAGUAAAUUUAAUUUGAUUUUUGUGAAUAAAGUUUACGAAAUUGGAUUUUCAGGGGGAAGAGCUCCUGAGGUUGCGGUAAAAGGGAGUUAGGUAGUUAGAAUGCGAGAUUAGGCUUAGAACCAGCCAUAUUGUCACAGCGUUUUAGGUGGCGUUAGCAGAAAAUUUGUUUUAAUUGAUUUUAUUUGGUUAUAGGAAGUUGUUGUUUGGAACAGGGUAGGAUAAGGAAUAAUGAUUAUAUUAGUAGGGAUUUAUUAGUGUUAGGGUUAGAUUGCUAGGUUGAUGUUAGGAGUUUAAGUUAGGUUUUGGUGUAUCCAAGGAACUCGACAAAUGUUAUAUUCACCUGUUUAUCAAAAACAUGUCUAUUUGAAUUUAUUUUUUAGUCUGGCCUGCCCACUGAGUUUAUUAAAGGGCCGCGGUAUUUGGACCGUGCUAAGGUAGCAUAAUCAAUAGUCUUUUAAUUGGAGUCUAGAAUGAAUGGUUGGAUGGAAUAUAAUUUGUCUGCGGGUACAGUAUCGAAUUUUACUUUUAAGUGAAAAGGCUUAAAUUAGGUAGGGGGACGAUAAGACCCUGUGAAGCUUUAUUUUUGUUAUGUUUUGUGUUCAAUAGUUGUGUGAUUGGGCUUGAAUUUAAUAAAUAUUUAAUUGGGGCGAUUGAAAUAUACUUGUAACUGUUUUUAGUGGGAAAAUAAUUGAUUUUUAGGGUGUUGAUCCUGAAUUGCGGAUUAAAAGAUUUAAGUUACUCCAGGGAUAACAGCGUAAUUUUUCUUGAGAGUCCGUAUCGACAGAAAUAUUUGCGACCUCGAUGUUGAAUUAAGAUUUCGUCAAGGUGUAGAAGUCUUGUUUGUAGGUCUGUUCGACCUUUAAAAUCUUACAUGAUUUGAGUUCAGACCGGCGUGAGCCAGGUUAGUUUCUAUCUUUUACUUUUUGUUGGUCAUUUUAGUACGAAAGGAGUGAGUGGCCGAAAUAUUUUUUGGGUUUGGAUUUACUUUAAUUGCUU